UACGUAGGGUGCGAGCGUUGUCCGGAAUUAUUGGGCGUAAAGAGCUCGUAGGCGGUCUGUCGCGUCUGCUGUGAAAACCCGAGGCUCAACCUCGGGCCUGCAGUGGGUACGGGCAGACUAGAGUGCGGUAGGGGAGAAUGGAACUCCUGGUGUAGCGGUGGAAUGCGCAGAUAUCAGGAAGAACACCGAUGGCGAAGGCAGUUCUCUGGGCCGUAACUGACGCUGAGGAGCGAAAGCGUGGGGAGCGAACAGG
RNAcentral lists this ribosomal RNA (253 nucleotides) under uncultured bacterium. RNAcentral's name for it is "partial 16S ribosomal RNA". It matches the Rfam family "Bacterial small subunit ribosomal RNA", at positions 524 to 776 of the family's 1533-position model. The record is from RNAcentral.